This 262-nucleotide ribosomal RNA is filed under the name uncultured bacterium. RNAcentral's name for it is "partial 16S ribosomal RNA". It matches the Rfam family "Bacterial small subunit ribosomal RNA", at positions 524 to 783 of the family's 1533-position model. The record is from RNAcentral.
UACGGGGGGGGCUAGCGUUGUUCGGAAUUACUGGGCGUAAAGCGUACGUAGGCGGCUUUGUAAGUUAGAGGUGAAAGCCCGGGGCUCAACCCCGGAAUUGACCUUUAAGACUGCAUCGCUUGAAUCAUGGAGAGGUGAGUGGAAUUCCGAGUGUAGAGGUGAAAUUCGUAGAUAUUCGGAAGAACACCAGUGGCGAAGGCGACUCACUGGACAUGUAUUGACGCUGAGGUACGAAAGCGUGGGGAGCAAACAGGAGUUAGAA